RNAcentral lists this long non-coding RNA (438 nucleotides) under Gallus gallus (chicken). Its description in RNAcentral is "lncRNA (ENSGALG00010020825.1)". Lineage: Eukaryota; Metazoa; Chordata; Aves; Galliformes; Phasianidae. The record is from RNAcentral.
CCUACAGAUGGCGGUGGUGCUCCGGGAGGGAUCCGACCCCUCCUCCGGGGCUCUCUAUGGGGCGGUGCGGCCGAAGCGGGUCGGCAGUGCGGGGUCGGAACCGCCGCGAUGUGAGCGCUGCCCCCGAGCCAUGGACCGGCAGAGAGCUCCAGGCCUCUCCUCCGUCUCCUCCUCUGAGUCAUCCCGGCUGUGCUCCCUGGGGUGCCCCACAGCUGCGGACCCCCUCCCGCCCCGUGGACUCCUCGUUUGACCCCGUGGCAGCGCCCCCAUCCCCACGGCACCCCCUCCUCGUGGCCCCGUGGUUGGGGGCUGUUUCCCCCCCCCCUCCCCACCGCUCCCCAACGCCCCCCAAACGCCGGAGGUUGGCGGGGGGUCACCGUGGAGGACGGCCCCACUGUGCCGCUAUGGGGCACGGAGCUGUGAGCGCAGCGGGGCGCC